GACGAACGCUGGCGGCGUGCUUAACACAUGCAAGUCGAACGGUGAAGCGCCUUCCUUUUUGGUGGGUGUGGAUGAGCGGCGAACGGGUGAGUAACACGUGAGUAACCUGCCCCCUUCUUCUGGAUAACCGCAUGAAAGUGCUGCUAAUACGGGAUAUUCUGAGUCUGUCGCAUGAUGGGUCUGGGAAAGUUAUUGUUUCGGUGGGGGAUGGGCUCGCGGCCUAUCAGCUUGUUGGUGGGGUGAUGGCCUACCAAGGCGGUGACGGGUAGCCGGCCUGAGAGGGUGGACGGCCACACUGGGAAUGAGACACGGCCCAGACUCCGACGGGAGGCAGCAGUGGGGAAUAUUGCACAAUGGGCGCAAGCCUGAUGCAGCGACGCCGCGUGAGGGAUGGAGGCCUUCGGGUUGUGAACCUCUUUCGCCAGUGAAGCAGGCCUGCCUCGUUUGUGGGUGGGUUGACGGUAGCUGGAGAAGAAGCGCCGGCUAACUACGUG
RNAcentral lists this ribosomal RNA (494 nucleotides) under uncultured bacterium. Its description in RNAcentral is "partial 16S ribosomal RNA". It matches the Rfam family "Bacterial small subunit ribosomal RNA", at positions 28 to 507 of the family's 1533-position model. The record is from RNAcentral.